UGUUUGAUGUUACUAGCUGCUUAUCCAGAAUGGCAAGCUCGUGCCCGUGCUGAGGUGCUUGAUGUGUGUGGUAGUAAGUUGCCAAAUGAUUCUAUGCUUAGACAAAUGAAAGUGCUGACAAUGAUCAUCCAUGAAACGUUACGUUUGUACCCCCCAGUAGCGUUUGUGGUGAGAGAAGCAUUGCAGGAUAUAAGUUUUAAGAGAAUUGAGAUCCCAAAAGGGACUAAUAUUGAGAUUCCAAUCCCAAUCCUGCAUCAGCAGCCUGAACUCUGG
Molecule: unclassified non-coding RNA, 273 nt
Filed under: Hevea brasiliensis (rubber tree)
Lineage: Eukaryota; Viridiplantae; Streptophyta; Magnoliopsida; Malpighiales; Euphorbiaceae
Source: RNAcentral